GUCUGUAGCUCAGUGGUGGAACACCUGCUCUGCGUGCAGAAGGUCCCAGGUUCAAUCCCUGGCAUCUCCA
RNAcentral lists this transfer RNA (70 nucleotides) under Podarcis lilfordi (Lilford's wall lizard). RNAcentral describes it as "tRNA.Ala". The stretch from base 4 to 64 matches the Rfam family "tRNA", at positions 6 to 65 of the family's 71-position model. Rfam says of the family: Transfer RNA (tRNA) molecules are approximately 80 nucleotides in length. Their secondary structure includes four short double-helical elements and three loops (D, anti-codon, and T loops). Further hydrogen bonds mediate the characteristic L-shaped molecular structure. tRNAs have two regions of fundamental functional importance: the anti-codon, which is responsible for specific mRNA codon recognition, and the 3' end, to which the tRNAs corresponding amino acid is attached (by aminoacyl-tRNA synthetases). tRNAs cope with the degeneracy of the genetic code in two manners: having more than one tRNA (with a specific anti-codon) for a particular amino acid; and 'wobble' base-pairing, i.e. permitting non-standard base-pairing at the 3rd anti-codon position. Lineage: Eukaryota; Metazoa; Chordata; Lepidosauria; Squamata; Lacertidae. The record is from RNAcentral.